This 71-nucleotide transfer RNA is filed under the name Candidatus Woesearchaeota archaeon. Its description in RNAcentral is "tRNA-Gly". It matches the Rfam family "tRNA". Rfam says of the family: Transfer RNA (tRNA) molecules are approximately 80 nucleotides in length. Their secondary structure includes four short double-helical elements and three loops (D, anti-codon, and T loops). The record is from RNAcentral. Lineage: Archaea; Nanobdellati; Candidatus Woesearchaeota.
GCACCGGUCGUUCAAUGGUAGGACGGGGGCCUUCCAAGCCUCAGACAUGGGUUCGAUUCCCGUUCGGUGCA